GAGGUGGGGCUUGCCUUUUUGGAAAGCUUCUCAUCUGGCUUGGGGAGAGCCUUUGUGGUGAGACUUGGUGACCAAGAGUAUAUCCUUGGUGGAGCUCCAACAUGGACUAGGGGUGUCAUUUGCCUACUGAUAUCAUGGAAUAAAUCGUCAUAUAUCUAGUUGUGCAUCUUUCCUAACCCACUUCUUUACGUUUUUGCAUUUCAUACUUGUAACUCUUGUGCCUUUACUUUUCUUAAAGUAGUUCCUGGUAGGAUUGGCUUUAGGUUACAAAAUUCUUUUUGGGUGGGAACUUUAACUAGAUCAACCCUAUAUACACAUUAGAUAGCAUGAUGUAAUUUUUGUUUUGAUGCAAGUAGUGGAAGCCAUAGGGGUUUUUAUGUUUGCCUAAAUCACCA
Molecule: long non-coding RNA, 395 nt
Filed under: Setaria viridis
Lineage: Eukaryota; Viridiplantae; Streptophyta; Magnoliopsida; Poales; Poaceae
Description: long non-coding RNA (SVIR_LNC003277)
Source: RNAcentral